GACGAACGCUGGCGGCGUGCUUAACACAUGCAAGUCGAACGGACAGGCCCUGCUUUUGUGGGGUGCUCGAGUGGCGAACGGGUGAGUAACACGUGAGUAACCUGCACUUGACUUUGGGAUAACUUCAGGAAACUGGGGCUAAUACCGGAUAGGAGCUCCUGCUGCAUGGUGGGGGUUGGAAAGAUUCGGCGGUUGUGGAUGGACUCGCGGCUUAUCCGCUACUUGGUGUGGUAGUGGAUUACGAAGGCUUUGACGGAUAGCCUGCCUGGGAGGGUGAACGGGCACAUGGCGCCUGCGAGAGGCACCAGUAGGCAACGGGAGGCAGCAGGCGAGAACAUGGCGGAGUGAGGCGAAGUGAGAUAUGACAAUCCUGGGUGCGGAAUGAUCGGUUACUAGUGGAAAACAAAUGUGGAAGGAGAUGUGCAGGGAUUGACGGUAACGAGUAAGAAAGCAACGGCUAACUACGUG
Molecule: ribosomal RNA, 468 nt
Filed under: uncultured bacterium
Lineage: Bacteria
Description: partial 16S ribosomal RNA
Rfam family: Bacterial small subunit ribosomal RNA
Source: RNAcentral